Molecule: long non-coding RNA, 833 nt
Organism: Quercus robur (English oak)
Lineage: Eukaryota; Viridiplantae; Streptophyta; Magnoliopsida; Fagales; Fagaceae
Exons: 2
Source: RefSeq, a predicted model, not a curated record
CAGAUAAAUUGUUUGAUAAUAUUUUGAAUAGUAUUGAAUGAUUGUCUUGUGCAUAAUGACAUUUGGACUGAUUGUGAAUUUUCAAGUUUGGGGUCAUCUUGAGAUGUUGAGACAUUGUAGGACUAUAGUUUGUUUAAUUAUGAUGCCUUAACAUUUUUAUUGUUUCUUUAUUUCCUUUAUCUUUCUAUUGUUGGUAUAGUUAACUCCUUUCUUUAAUGAGGCUUUUUUGGAAUGCAUGUUUGUGUGCUUAGAAUUUUGUGGAAAGACAAAUGGAUUUAUCCUUAUGUGAUGAAUGAACUAUGAAGUCCUAUUGAAAUUUUGAAAGAGGGGUAAUAUAGAUUUUUUAAUUUCUUUUGUUUUAUUUUUUACAAGAGAGGAAUGAAAGGCUAUUCUACAAACUUCUCAUUGAUAAUGUUGAGGAAUUGCCCCCAGUUGUCUAUGCUCCAACUGUGGGUGAGGCUUGCCAGAAGUAUGGGAGCAUUUUCAAGCGCCCACAGGGUCUUUACAUAAGUUUGAAAGAAGAGUAUGAAUUUCUAUUUUUGCUGUAACUACGUGCAACUUAGAACUACUUUAGUCAUAAUAUGAAGGAGGGCUCGGAUUUUGCAAGGGCAAUAUUCUUGAGGUGUUGAAGAACUGGCUUGAGAGGACUAUUCAAGCAAUUGUUGUGACGGAUGGUGAGCAAAUUUCAGGACUUAGGGAUCUUGGCUGUCAGGGGAUGGGGAUUCCUGUGGGGAAAUUGUCUUUGUAUACAGCACAUGGAGGUCUUCGUCCUUCUACAGUAAGUUUAUUCAAAUAAAACUUGUGGCUCUUGCUUCGUUUUACUACAUUGUAAA